UACAUACUGUGCGAACGUUAUUCGGAUUCACUGGGCUUAAAGGGUGCGUAGGCGGCUUGUUAAGUAGGGUGUGAAAGCCCCCAGCUCAACUGGGGAACUGCACUCUAUACUGGCGAGCUAGAGUGAGAUAGGGGUGUGUGGAACUGCCAGUGGAGCGGUGAAAUGUGUUGAUAUUGGCAGGAACGCCGGUGGCGAAAGCGACACACUGGGUCUCAACUGACGCUGAGGCACGAAAGCCAGGGGAGCGAACGGG
This 253-nucleotide ribosomal RNA is filed under the name uncultured bacterium. Its description in RNAcentral is "partial 16S ribosomal RNA". It matches the Rfam family "Bacterial small subunit ribosomal RNA", at positions 524 to 776 of the family's 1533-position model. The record is from RNAcentral.